GAUGAAGAACGCAGCGAAAUGCGAUACGUAAUGUGAAUUACAGAAUUCAGUGAAUCAUCGAGUCUUUGAACGCACAUUGCGCCCCCUGGUAUUCCGGGGGGCAUGCCUGUCCGAGCGUCAUUGCCGCCCUCAAGCACGGCUUGUGUGUUGGGCCUCCGUCCUCCUCCCGGGGGACGGGCCCGAAAGGCAGCGGCGGCACCGCGUCCGGUCCUCGAGCGUAUGGGGCUUCGUCACCCGCUCUUGUAGGCCCGGCCGGCGCUUGCCGACACAUCAAUCUUUUUUCCAGGUUGACCUCGGAUCAGGUAGGGAUACCCGCUGAACUUAAGCAUAUCAAUAAGCGGAGGA
Molecule: unclassified non-coding RNA, 345 nt
Filed under: soil metagenome
Description: partial contains 5.8S ribosomal RNA, internal transcribed spacer 2, and large subunit ribosomal RNA
Rfam family: 5.8S ribosomal RNA (bases 1-120)
Source: RNAcentral